Molecule: ribosomal RNA, 253 nt
Filed under: uncultured bacterium
Lineage: Bacteria
Description: partial 16S ribosomal RNA
Rfam family: Bacterial small subunit ribosomal RNA
Source: RNAcentral
UACGUAGGGGGCAAGCGUUGUCCGGAUUUAUUGGGCGUAAAGAGCGUGUAGGCGGCUAGGUAGGUCCGUUGUGAAAACUCGAGGCUCAACCUCGAGACGCCGGUGGAAACCAUCUAGCUAGAGUCCGGAAGAGGAGAGUGGAAUUCCUGGUGUAGCGGUGAAAUGCGCAGAUAUCAGGAAGAACACCCGUGGCGAAGGCGGCUCUCUGGGACGUGACUGACGCUGAUGCGCGAAAGCCAGGGGAGCGAACGGG